GAGUUUGAUCAUGGCUCAGGACGAACGCUGGCGGCGUGCCUAAUACAUGCAAGUAGAACGCUGAAGAGAGGAGCUUGCUCUUCUUGGAUGAGUUGCGAACGGGUGAGUAACGCGUAGGUAACCUGCCUUGUAGCGGGGGAUAACUAUUGGAAACGAUAGCUAAUACCGCAUAACAAUAGGUGACACAUGUCAUUUAUUUGAAAGGGGCAAUUGCUCCACUACAAGAUGGACCUGCGUUGUAUUAGCUAGUAGGUGAGGUAACGGCUCACCUAGGCGACGAUACAUAGCCGACCUGAGAGGGUGAUCGGCCAUACUGGGACUGAGACACGGCCCAGACUCCUACGGGAGGCAGCAGUAGGGAAUCUUCGGCAAUGGGGGCAACCCUGACCGAGCAACGCCGCGUGAGUGAAGAAGGUUUUCGGAUCGUAAAGCUCUGUUGUAAGUCAAGAACGAGUGUGAGAGUGGAAAGUUCACACUGUGACGGUAGCUUACCAGAAAGGGACGGCUAACUACGUGCCAGCAGCCGCGGUAAUACGUAGGUCCCGAGCGUUGUCCGGAUUUAUUGGGCGUAAAGCGAGCGCAGGCGGUUUGAUAAGUCUGAAGUUAAAGGCCGUGGCUCAACCAUAGUUCGCUUUGGAAACUGUCAAACUUGAGUGCAGAAGGGGAGAGUGGAAUUCCAUGUGUAGCGGUGAAAUGCGUAGAUAUAUGGAGGAACACCGGUGGCGAAAGCGGCUCUCUGGUCUGUAACUGACGCUGAGGCUCGAAAGCGUGGGGAGCGAACAGGAUUAGAUACCCUGGUAGUCCACGCCGUAAACGAUGAGUGCUAGGUGUUGGAUCCUUUCCGGGAUUCAGUGCCGCAGCUAACGCAUUAAGCACUCCGCCUGGGGAGUACGACCGCAAGGUUGAAACUCAAAGGAAUUGACGGGGGCCCGCACAAGCGGUGGAGCAUGUGGUUUAAUUCGAAGCAACGCGAAGAACCUUACCGGGUCUUGACAUCCCGAUGCUAUUUCUAGAGAUAGAAAGUUACUUCGGUACAUCGGUGACAGGUGGUGCAUGGUUGUCGUCAGCUCGUGUCGUGAGGUGUUGGGUUAAGUCCCGCAACGAGCGCAACCCCUAUUGUUAGUUGCCAUCAUUCAGUUGGGCACUCUAGCGAGACUGCCGGUAAUAAACCGGAGGAAGGUGGGGAUGACGUCAAAUCAUCAUGCCCCUUAUGACCUGGGCUACACACGUGCUACAAUGGUUGGUACAACGAGUUGCGAGUCGGUGACGGCAAGCUAAUCUCUUAAAGCCAAUCUCAGUUCGGAUUGUAGGCUGCAACUCGCCUACAUGAAGUCGGAAUCGCUAGUAAUCGCGGAUCAGCACGCCGCGGUGAAUACGUUCCCGGGCCUUGUACACACCGCCCGUC
Molecule: ribosomal RNA, 1405 nt
Filed under: uncultured bacterium
Lineage: Bacteria
Description: bacterial SSU rRNA
Rfam family: Bacterial small subunit ribosomal RNA
Source: RNAcentral